GUCUUUUUGAUUAAUAAUUUAAAGUCUGGCCUGCCCACUGAAAUAUUUGAAGGGCCGCAGUAUUAAUUGUGCUAAGGUAGCAUAGUAAAUAGUCUUUUAAUUGGGGACUAGAAUGAAUGGUUAGACGAAAUAUCUAUUGUUUUUUAUUUAAAUAUAUAGAAUUUAUUAUUUUAAUUAAAAAAUUAAAAUUUUAUAAAAAGACGAGAAGACCCUAUAGAUCUUUAUAUAAAUUAUAAAAGUUUAAUUUAUAUUUUGUUGGGGUGAUUAAAAAAUUUAUUUAACUUUUGGAAAUAUUUUACAUUAAUUUAUGAUUUAAUUUAUUAUGAUCUAUUUUUAUAAAUAAAGAUGAAAGAUACCUUAGGGAUAACAGCGUAAUUUUAAUUUUAAGUUCUUAUUAAAAUUAAAGAUUGCGACCUCGAUGUUGGAUUAAAAUUAAUUUUAAAUGUAGCCGUUUAAUAAUUAGGUCUGUUCGACCUUUAAAUUUUU
RNAcentral lists this ribosomal RNA (486 nucleotides) under Caloca ascita. RNAcentral describes it as "partial 16S ribosomal RNA". The record is from RNAcentral. Lineage: Eukaryota; Metazoa; Arthropoda; Insecta; Trichoptera; Calocidae.